AACGUAGGGGGCGAGCGUUGUCCGGAAUUACUGGGCGUAAAGGGCGUGUAGGCGGCCCGCCAAGUCAGAUGUGAAAACCCCGGGCUCAACCCGGGAGUUGCAUUUGAAACUGGAGGGCUUGAGGGCAGGAGAGGAGAGUGGAAUUCCCGGUGUAGCGGUGAAAUGCGUAGUUAUCGGGAGGAACACCAGUGGCGAAGGCGACUCUCUGGACUGACCCUGACGCUGAGGCGCGAAAGCGUGGGGAGCAAAC
This 250-nucleotide ribosomal RNA is filed under the name uncultured Neomoorella sp. RNAcentral describes it as "uncultured Moorella sp. partial 16S ribosomal RNA". It matches the Rfam family "Bacterial small subunit ribosomal RNA", at positions 524 to 773 of the family's 1533-position model. Lineage: Bacteria; Bacillati; Bacillota; Clostridia; Neomoorellales; Neomoorellaceae. The record is from RNAcentral.